CCUACCUCUCACCUCCCUCCCCUUCCUAUCUCUCUCCCCGUCCCUUCCGGUGCGGCAACAGUCGCCAACCGAGGCAGCGCCUCCCGCGGGCGGCGCUCUGACGCUAAUGGACCCCCACGGUCCCAUGCAUCUCCCCCAUCCUUUCCAUGGGUUUCACAACACCUGCUACUGACGGUUACUGACGGUUCCAUGGGUUUCGCAACACCUGCUCCCGAAGGUUUGGUGACAUGACGCCAACACGACCAAAAGGGGCAGAUCCAUAAAUAAUUUAGCUCAAUUUCGUGAAUUCGCCUAACCAAAGGUUUUAUGUGAUGACACCAGUGUGGCCAAAACAGACGGAUACAUUGUCCAGCUCUGUCAUUGAAAUUGCCAAGUAAUCGAACUCGAUUUCAGAGUAAUCAAAUUUUCCAAGCUUCAUUUUCCCUUUCAUUUUCCCCUAAUUAUUUUUUACGAUAAAAAGUCGUCGUUUAUCCAAAAACACAAAGCAAUAAAUUUUAUUAUGGAUUGACCAUUGCAACUUCUAAUUUUUUUGAGUAAUACAUCAUGCAACUUUAAAUUAUGAACUCAUCACCUACUAUGUCCUAUGAGGUUUACCAUAAUCUCCAAGUGUUUGCUUCACUUGAUCUUAGGAAAGAAAUAUUCAAGUCUUAUUCCUAUUGCAUCUUGUGUAUCCAUGCCUUCUCAUGGUGUGAGAGGUGCUAAUUUGGUCAUGGUGUUGAUAUAAACUGCCAUGGGACUCUCUUCAUUUAGGAGACAAUGCUAUCAGAUUCAUGAUGAAGUAAGUGCUCUUUCCAAAUUCACUCAGCCUAUGAGCCUAUCAUCAAUCUAUUUUUGGGAUAUGUUUUCUUUAUAAUGGUUUUUACAUUGAGUACCGUCUAAAUAUAUUAAUCAGUUGUCCAAACUCUAUUAUAAUGGCUUGGUUUUAUGAUGCCUCUUAAUGAAUAAGGACCCUUAUAUAUAAUGUUCCUUUGCUUUAUGGUUGUGCCUGCAAGCCACAAAUAUCUUAGACUACAUAGAUUCCUUAUUGUGCUUUUCGAAUUUAUCUACGUGAACCUAUAUUCUUCAGCCCUUAUUUUAUGAUAGUACCCUCACAUUCAAAUUUUCCUUUCAGAACCUAGCUGCUUUGCUGAGACAAGUUUAUUCUUUUUUGUUUGUGUGUGUCUGUGUGUGUGUGCACGGACUUACGCUAUCGCUCUUGCCUACUUUUAUCAUCUGCUUCGCUUUCUUGUGAGCACUAUGGUGUCUGUCUAGCGUGCUGUCACCAGCCUUGCCCUUUGCAACCUGCAAUAGUCCAUGCACAAAGGCAUCUCUUAACCACUGGAUGGAGCACAUUUGCUAAUAAGAAGGACCUUAUUUCUAAAGAUGAAGUUCUAUUCCUUUGUUGAAGAUUGGACAUGGAUGCUACACAGCCAGAUGUGGGCCUUGGACAUAAAAGAAAGGCCUGUCAUAUUUACAUGGACAAAAAAAAUUUGCCUAUCAUCUUAGACUUUUCUUUCAAAUUGAGCCUCGUCAAAUUUGAAGGUACUAAUGUCAGGUCUGCCUUAAAGCCAACAAAUAAGAGACAACAUAGUGUCGGGCGUCAUUCUUGAACAAUAAAAAUAUAGAACGAUGUUUAUUGGAGAGUAGCGAUCAGCAUGGUGCUACUUAGAUGCUAUUAGCAUGGUGCUCAGUGUCUUUAAAAAAUGGGUCUCCUGCUACAGAGCUGUUGUUUGUGCCCGUUCAAAAAAAUGAUGAAUGUUUAGAGUUUCAGUGUUGCCUCAUAAAUUUGAUUUUGCCAUAUUUUUUGUGAGGAAUUCAAUAGCACCCCCUUUGCUCCCUGGACUUAAAGCUGAUGAGAACGAUCUAGGUUUAUCUCUAUCGCUUUCAUCCAUCAUUCC
Long non-coding RNA from Sorghum bicolor (sorghum), 1877 nucleotides. RefSeq lists it as uncharacterized. The transcript has 7 exons. NCBI's taxonomy places the organism in Eukaryota, Viridiplantae, Streptophyta, Magnoliopsida, Poales, Poaceae. The record is from RefSeq and is a predicted model, not a curated record.